This 67-nucleotide transfer RNA is filed under the name Marmota monax (woodchuck). Its description in RNAcentral is "tRNA.Ala". The record is from RNAcentral. Lineage: Eukaryota; Metazoa; Chordata; Mammalia; Rodentia; Sciuridae.
GGUUAUGGCUCAGCGGUAGAGUGCUUGCCUAGCAUGUGUGGGGCCCUGUGUUCAAUUCUCAGCACCA